CAACUGGGCAGAGGAUCCUCCUCCAGUUGCCACUGAAAGGGCAGGACUGAAUCUGUGAAGCAUUUUGUGAAGCACUGAAUGAGCAUGGAGGGAAUGGCUGAGAGUCCCUGACAAGAGCACAAAUGAACUUCCACUUCCAGCAACAUUUAUACCAGUCAAGAGUAAACACACUCAUGUGGAGCACAGCUGAGCACCUUCAUCUCUUUGAAAGGACCUGUGGCAACUCAGCAUUGCAAGAAGAAAGGAUUCUUCUUUAGGAUGUUAGUUUAAGCUAUUGAAGUUCAUUCAAAGGAUAGUAUUUUAAGCUAUCCAAGUUCAUUAAAA
Long non-coding RNA from Pogoniulus pusillus (Red-fronted tinkerbird), 324 nucleotides. RefSeq lists it as uncharacterized. NCBI's taxonomy places the organism in Eukaryota, Metazoa, Chordata, Aves, Piciformes, Lybiidae. The record is from RefSeq and is a predicted model, not a curated record. The transcript is spliced from 3 exons.